This is a long non-coding RNA of Haliotis rufescens (red abalone), 1252 nucleotides long. RefSeq lists it as uncharacterized. The record is from RefSeq and is a predicted model, not a curated record. The transcript is spliced from 9 exons. NCBI's taxonomy places the organism in Eukaryota, Metazoa, Mollusca, Gastropoda, Lepetellida, Haliotidae.
UCACCCGGAGCCUCGUUCGCGGAUAAUACGUCAACAUGCACCCGACCAGUACACGAGGAGCACUGCCCCGAGACGUGACGUGUGGGGUAAUACCCGGGCGUUCCUUCAUUUAUCGGUGAGGAGAACUGUAGGCUGUGUUCUGUACCGGUGCGGGUUGUCCAUUACACUUCAUUCAAGGUGCCCGUUUUCCCCGUGGGGAUGAAGACCUUCUACUUGGGCGUGGCCACAGUGCUGGCCGGGCUGUGUCUAGCGCUUAUGUGUGACGCUGAACCUCACCGCCGUCUCAGGCUGAGAAUAUCUUCCCGGCGCAAUAAAUGACAAGCUUCAACAGAUCCAACACCAGCGACUGCACAUCAGGCCUCUACCAGCUAUAAUCCUUGGCUGAACUGGGCUACUACCACUCAAUCGUAUAACAGUACCUGUAAGUAAAAGAUACUCUAUUUUGCCUUCACAAGCACGUUUUAUUCUGCGCAAAAUAAAGUAACUAUAAUAUGUUCAUACAAUACUUGUAUAUACUACGCUGUUUUGUCAUUAUGUAAAAUACCAUGUGGUUUCCGAAGUUGAACCAUGAAGAUCACACCGUCCUGUUGCUGUUUUAAAUUACGUGUCACUCCGGACCAUAUUUGGGCGAAACAAGGUGUCUCUCUAAAAGCAUACGGAAUAUAGACAGGAUAUAAGUUAACCUAACUGAUAUGUACAUUCCGCAUAUAUUACAUAAUGUUUUCUUGUUCGAAGGCUCGCCAUAAAACGAUGGCCGUUCAUAUGUCAGGACUGCCUGUUCCCAAACUCUAUCUGGUACGGAGGGAAGUUUCAGCAGCCCUGGAGCGGGAGCGGGAGCGUCGUACUCUGGCAACCUUGACUGCCUCUACACCAUUCCCUCACCACCACCAGGGAGCCUAAUUGACAUAACAUUCAUGCUGUUCCAACUGGAGGACCAUUCCUCUUGCGACUAUGACUACGUCAAGUUCUCCUACACCCGCCAGAAGAUCUGUGGAAUCAAGACCACGCCUCUGUAAUUCUCCUUUACAUCCCUGGAGACGGACUUCAAGAUAUACUUCCACUCUGACGGUUCAGUUCAUCAUCCUGGUUUUCUUGCAGCAUUUAGGAUUCGAGAAAGGCUGAACCGGACUGCAACCACUCCGUGGUAUUACAGGACCACAACCCCUUUCAAUUCAUUCACGAACACCUUCACCUUAUACUUCAAGACAGACUACAGCGUUACUAGGAGAGGAUUCUCCAUUAAUUACAGGAC